AUAGUGAAGAAAUGAAGGGCGCACGGUGGAUGCCUUGGUACCAGGAGCCGACGAAGGACGGGACAAACACCGAAAUGCUUCGGGGAGCCGUAAGUAGGCGUUGAUCCGAAGAUGUCCGAAUGGGGGAACCCACUGUCCGUUAUGGGACAGUACCGAUCACUGAAUACAUAGGUGGUCGGAGGUAGACCCGGGGAACUGAAACAUCUCAGUACCCGGAGGAGAGGAAAGCAAAUGCGAUUUCCCGAGUAGCGGCGAGCGAAACGGAACCAGCCCAAACCAGAGAGCUUGCUCUCUGGGGUUGUAGGACACUCCAUCGGAGUUACCAAGAGGGAGGAUAGGCGAAUCGGACUGGAACGUCCAGCCAGAGCAGGUAACAGCCCUGUAGCCGACAUCCUCCCUCCUCCGGAGUGGAUCCUGAGUACGGCGAAACACGAGAAAUUUCGUCGGAAUCCGGGAGGACCAUCUCCCAAGGCUAAAUACUCCCUGGUAACCGAUAGUGAACCAGUACCGUGAGGGAAAGGUGAAAAGCACCCCGGAAGGGGAGUGAAAGAGAACCUGAAACCGUGUGCCUACAAGUAGUCGGAGCCCGUUAAUGGGUGACGGCGUACCUUUUGUAGAAUGGACCGGCGAGUUACGAUCGGCUGCAAGGUUAAGCACCGUAGGUGUGGAGCCGCAGCGAAAGCGAGUCUGAACAGGGCGUCUCGAGUAGACGGUCGUAGACCCGAAACCGUGUGAUCUACCCAUCUCCAGGGUGAAGGUCAGGUAAUACUGACUGGAGGCCCGAACCCACGUAAGUUGAAAAUUACGGGGAUGAGGGGUGGGUAGGGGUGAAAUGCCAAUCGAACACGGAGAUAGCUGGUUCUCUCCGAAAUAGCUUUAGGGCUAGCCUUCGGCCAGGAGUCCUGGAGGUAGAGCACUGAUUGGAUGAGGGGCCCCUACCGGGUUACCGAGUUCAGUCAAACUCCGAAUGCCAGCGACUCGCGUCGAGGAGUCAGACCAUGGGUGAGAAGGUUCAUGGUCAAGAGGGGAACAGCCCAGACCGUCAGCUAAGGUCCCUAAGUGUGUGUUAAGUGGAAAAGGAUGUGGCGUUGCUUAGACAACCAGGAUGUUAGCUUAGAAGCAGCUAUCAUUGAAAGAGUGCGUAAUAGCUCACUGGUCGAGUGACGCUGCGCCGAAAAUGUACCGGGGCUAAACACACCACCGAAGCUACGGAUUUGCAUCUGAUGAUGCAAGUGGUAGGAGAGCGUUCCAGGAGCUGUGAAGUCAGACCGUGAGGACUGGUGGAGCGACUGGAAGUGAGAAUGCCGGUAUAAGUAGCGAAAAAAGAGUGAGAAUCUCUUUCACCGUAAGCCUAAGGUUUCCUGAGGAAGGCUCGUCCACUCAGGGUUAGUCGGGACCUAAGCCGAGGCCGAAAGGCGUAGGCGAUGGACAACAGGUGGAGAUUCCUGUACCACCCGCCUCCGUUCGAGCGAACGGGGGGACGCAGGAGGAUAGGGAGAGCGCACCAUUGGAUGUGUGCGUCCAAGCUGUGAGCGCGUCGGAUAGGCAAAUCCGUCCGGCAAG
Molecule: ribosomal RNA, 1563 nt
Filed under: Salimicrobium humidisoli
Lineage: Bacteria; Bacillati; Bacillota; Bacilli; Caryophanales; Bacillaceae
Description: bacterial LSU rRNA
Rfam family: Bacterial large subunit ribosomal RNA
Source: RNAcentral